GUGGGGAAUAUUGGACAAUGGGGGGAACCCUGAUCCAGCCAUGCCGCGUGUGUGAAGAAGGCCUUUUGGUUGUAAAGCACUUUAAGCGAGGAGGAGGCUACUCUAGUUAAUACCUAGGGAUAGUGGACGUUACUCGCAGAAUAAGCACCGGCUAACUCUGUGCCAGCAGCCGCGGUAAUACAGAGGGUGCAAGCGUUAAUCGGAUUUACUGGGCGUAAAGCGCGAGUAGGUGGCCAAUUAAGUCAAAUGUGAAAUCCCCGAGCUUAACUUGGGAAUUGCAUUCGGUACUGGUUGGGUAGAGUAUGGGAGAGGAUGGUAGAAUUCCAGGUGUAGCGGUGAAAUGCGUAGAGAUCUGGAGGAAUACCGAUGGCGAAGGCAGCCAUCUGGCCUAAUACUGACACUGAGGUGCGAAAGCAUGGGGAGCAAACAGGAUUAGAAACCCGGGUAGUCC
RNAcentral lists this ribosomal RNA (451 nucleotides) under uncultured bacterium. RNAcentral describes it as "partial 16S ribosomal RNA". It matches the Rfam family "Bacterial small subunit ribosomal RNA", at positions 354 to 796 of the family's 1533-position model. The record is from RNAcentral.